This 707-nucleotide ribosomal RNA is filed under the name Enterobacter cloacae. RNAcentral describes it as "bacterial SSU rRNA". It matches the Rfam family "Bacterial small subunit ribosomal RNA", at positions 46 to 742 of the family's 1533-position model. Lineage: Bacteria; Pseudomonadati; Pseudomonadota; Gammaproteobacteria; Enterobacterales; Enterobacteriaceae. The record is from RNAcentral.
UCCAACCACAAUGCCCCGUCGAACGGUAGCACAGAGAGCUUGCUCUCGGGUGACGAGUGGCGGACGGGUGAGUAAUGUCUGGGAAACUGCCUGAUGGAGGGGGAUAACUACUGGAAACGGUAGCUAAUACCGCAUAACGUCGCAAGACCAAAGAGGGGGACCUUCGGGCCUCUUGCCAUCAGAUGUGCCCAGAUGGGAUUAGCUAGUAGGUGGGGUAACGGCUCACCUAGGCGACGAUCCCUAGCUGGUCUGAGAGGAUGACCAGCCACACUGGAACUGAGACACGGUCCAGACUCCUACGGGAGGCAGCAGUGGGGAAUAUUGCACAAUGGGCGCAAGCCUGAUGCAGCCAUGCCGCGUGUAUGAAGAAGGCCUUCGGGUUGUAAAGUACUUUCAGCGGGGAGGAAGGUGUUGUGGUUAAUAACCGCAGCAAUUGACGUUACCCGCAGAAGAAGCACCGGCUAACUCCGUGCCAGCAGCCGCGGUAAUACGGAGGGUGCAAGCGUUAAUCGGAAUUACUGGGCGUAAAGCGCACGCAGGCGGUCUGUCAAGUCGGAUGUGAAAUCCCCGGGCUCAACCUGGGAACUGCAUUCGAAACUGGCAGGCUGGAGUCUUGUAGAGGGGGGUAGAAUUCCACGUGUAGCGGUGAAAUGCGUACACAUCUGGAGGAAGACCGGUGGCGAAGGCGAGCCCCUGGACAAUGACUG